Ipomoea nil (Japanese morning glory) is the source of this 103-nucleotide long non-coding RNA. RefSeq lists it as uncharacterized. The record is from RefSeq and is a predicted model, not a curated record. The transcript has 3 exons. NCBI's taxonomy places the organism in Eukaryota, Viridiplantae, Streptophyta, Magnoliopsida, Solanales, Convolvulaceae.
AUUUAUUUAUUUCAAAAUCCAUUGCUUUUAAAUGUGUUAGGUUGUCAAUUCAUUGUGAAAUAAAACCGGAAAAACUUCUCUUAGUAAGUAUAAAAUACGUAAA